Molecule: ribosomal RNA, 301 nt
Filed under: uncultured bacterium
Lineage: Bacteria
Description: partial 16S ribosomal RNA
Rfam family: Bacterial small subunit ribosomal RNA
Source: RNAcentral
CAGUCGCCGCGGUAAUACGGAGGGUGCAAGCGUUAUUCGGAAUUACUGGGCGUAAAGCGCACGCAGGCGGUUGCCCAAGUCAGAUGUGAAAGCCCCGGGCUUAACCUGGGAACUGCAUUUGAAACUGGGCGACUAGAGUAUGAAAGAGGAAAGCGGAAUUUCCAGUGUAGCAGUGAAAUGCGUAGAUAUUGGAAGGAACACCGAUGGCGAAGGCAGCUUUCUGGGUCGAUACUGACGCUCAUGUGCGAAAGCGUGGAGAGCAAACAGGAUUAGAUACCCGAGUAGCCCUGUCUCUUAUACA